This 292-nucleotide ribosomal RNA is filed under the name uncultured bacterium. RNAcentral's name for it is "partial 16S ribosomal RNA". It matches the Rfam family "Bacterial small subunit ribosomal RNA", at positions 505 to 796 of the family's 1533-position model. The record is from RNAcentral.
GUGUCAGCAGCCGCGGUAAUACGGAGGGUGCAAGCGUUGUUCGGAAUUACUGGGCGUAAAGCGCGUGUAGGCGGCCUGGUAAGUCGGAUGUGAAAGCCCUCGGCUUAACCGGGGAAGUGCAUCUGAAACUGCCUGGCUUGAGUACGGGAGAGGGAGGCGGAAUUCCCAGUGUAGAGGUGAAAUUCGUAGAGAUUGGGAGGAACACCGGUGGCGAAAGCGGCCUCCUGGACCGAUACUGACGCUGAGACGCGAAAGCGUGGGGAGCAAACAGGAUUAGAAACCCUGGUAGUCC